UCUGGUUUUUCUUUAGUUUUUUGUUUUUCUCUUUCUUCUAAUUUAUGUUAUUUCUUCAUCAGCCGGAAGCAGAAAGUGGCUUCAGUGGGGCUCACACCCCUGAAGGCCGUGAAGAGGGGUGCGCAGUGAACCCCUAGGUCAGCAAGACCCAGGUCACCGCCCCCUUUGAACCGUGGAGAGGGCGAGCGCUCCCGUGAGGAAGGGGGGGGGUAGGUGACGAGGUAGAAAACACCGGAUCCCCUAGCGAAGGAAGCAGAGACGUCGAGGCCCAGGAGCCAAAGGAAGCAGUCCUGGCUCUCGGGGCCAUUCCCCCUUCGGAGGAUGCUAAUGUGGGGGGUCA
RNAcentral lists this long non-coding RNA (340 nucleotides) under Sorghum bicolor (sorghum). RNAcentral describes it as "long non-coding RNA (SBIC_LNC006222)". The record is from RNAcentral. Lineage: Eukaryota; Viridiplantae; Streptophyta; Magnoliopsida; Poales; Poaceae.